UCUCCGUAGGUGAACCUGCGGAGGGAUCAUUACAGAGUUCUCGCCCUCGCGGGUAGAUCUCCCACCCACUGUUAUCGUUACUGUGUUGCUUUGGCGGGCCGCCGGGCCCCGCGCGGCCGCCGGCUCCGGCUGGCGCGCGCCCGCCAGAGGCCCAGCAAACUCUGAAUGUUAGUGUCGUCUGAGUACUAUAUAAUAGUUAAAACUUUCAACAACGGAUCUCUUGGUUCUG
Molecule: unclassified non-coding RNA, 229 nt
Filed under: plant metagenome
Description: partial contains small subunit ribosomal RNA, internal transcribed spacer 1, and 5.8S ribosomal RNA
Source: RNAcentral